This 228-nucleotide ribosomal RNA is filed under the name uncultured bacterium. Its description in RNAcentral is "partial 16S ribosomal RNA". It matches the Rfam family "Bacterial small subunit ribosomal RNA", at positions 544 to 771 of the family's 1533-position model. The record is from RNAcentral.
UCCGGAUUUACUGGGUGUAAAGGGAGCGUAGACGGAAUGGCAAGUCUGAUGUGAAAGGCCGGGGCUCAACCCCGGGACUGCAUUGGAAACUGUCAAUCUAGAGUACCGGAGGGGUAAGUGGAAUUCCUAGUGUAGCGGUGAAAUGCGUAGAUAUUAGGAGGAACACCAGUGGCGAAGGCGGCUUACUGGACGGUAACUGACGUUGAGGCUCGAAAGCGGUGGGGAGAC